Molecule: ribosomal RNA, 446 nt
Filed under: uncultured bacterium
Lineage: Bacteria
Description: bacterial SSU rRNA
Rfam family: Bacterial small subunit ribosomal RNA
Source: RNAcentral
GAUGAACGCUGGCGGCGUGCUUAACACAUGCAAGUCGAACGGGAAAUAUUUUAUUGAAACUUCGGUCGAUUUAAUUUAUUUCUAGUGGCGGACGGGUGAGUAACGCGUGGGUAACCUGCCUUAUACUGGGGGAUAACAGCCAGAAAUGACUGCUAAUACCGCAUAAGCGCACAGGACCGCAUGGUUCGGUGUGAAAAACUCCGGUGGUAUAAGAUGGACCCGCGUUGGAUUAGCUAGUUGGCAGGGCAGCGGCCUACCAAGGCGACGAUCCAUAGCCGGCCUGAGAGGGUGAACGGCCACAUUGGGACUGAGACACGGCCCAGACUCCUACGGGAGGCAGCAGUGGGGAAUAUUGCACAAUGGGGGAAACCUUGAUGCAGCGACGCCGCGUGAAGGAAGAAGUAUCUCGGUAUGUAAACUUCUAUCAGCAGGGAAGAUAAUGACGG